This 215-nucleotide long non-coding RNA is filed under the name Glycine max (soybean). RNAcentral's name for it is "long non-coding RNA (GMAX_LNC001504)". The record is from RNAcentral. Lineage: Eukaryota; Viridiplantae; Streptophyta; Magnoliopsida; Fabales; Fabaceae.
UUAAUUCAUUUACAAUCUAUGGCAAAAUUAAAGCAUAAAGUGAGUUGUCAAUAUCUUGAAAAGCAUCUACAGAGACAAGGAAAUCAGGGUUUGGACAAUAAAAUGGGUUUUCCUUUUAAGUUAUUGACAAGAUGGAAACUCACAAAGGAACCAUUUUUCCAGAACAAAAAAACGAUCAUGGACCACAUUCCAAAUUUCCAAUUCACAAGAACCGC